RNAcentral lists this non-coding RNA (23 nucleotides) under Cricetulus griseus (Chinese hamster). The record is from RNAcentral. Lineage: Eukaryota; Metazoa; Chordata; Mammalia; Rodentia; Cricetidae.
UUUAACUCAGACCACCGUGGUGC